Molecule: ribosomal RNA, 650 nt
Filed under: uncultured bacterium
Lineage: Bacteria
Description: bacterial SSU rRNA
Rfam family: Bacterial small subunit ribosomal RNA
Source: RNAcentral
GGGAUGGUGCAGACGGGUGAGUACGCGUGGAACGUGCCUUUCACUACGGAAUAGCUUUUGGAAACGAAAGGUAAUACCGUAUACGCCCUCCGGGGGAAAGAUUUAUCGGUGAAAGAUCGGUCCGCGUUAGAUUAGCUAGUUGGUGAGGUAACGGCUCACCAAGGCUACGAUCUAUAGCUGGUCUGAGAGGAUGAUCAGCCACACUGGAACUGAGACACGGUCCAGACUCCUACGGGAGGCAGCAGUGGGGAAUAUUGCACAAUGGGCGCAAGCCUGAUGCAGCCAUGCCGCGUGAAUGAUGAAGGCCUUAGGGUUGUAAAAUUCUUUCGCCAAGGAUGAUAAUGACAGUACUUGGUAAAGAAGCCCCGGCUAACUUCGUGCCAGCAGCCGCGGUAAUACGAAGGGGGCUAGCGUUGUUCGGAAUUACUGGGCGUAAAGCGCACGUAGGCGGACUUUUAAGUCAGAUGUGAAAUCCCGAGGCUCAACCUCGGAACUGCAUUUGAAACUGGGAGUCUAGAGAUCAGGAGAGGUUAGCGGAAUACCGAGUGUAGAGGUGAAAUUCGUAGAUAUUCGGUGGAACACCAGUGGCGAAGGCGGCUAACUGGACUGAUACUGACGCUGAGGUGCGAAAGUGUGGGGAGCAAACAGGA